CUUAAAACCCAAAGGACUUGACGGUGCCCCACCCCCCUAGAGGAGCCUGUCCUAUAAACGAUAAUCCCCGCUAAACCCCUCCACUAUUAGCCUUUCAGCCUGUAUACCUCCGUCGCAAGCUCGCCAAAUGAUUGCCCCACAGCGAGCUCAAUGAUUUAUCACCCAUACGUCAGGUCAAGGUGCAGCCAAUAUAGUGGAAAGAGAUGGGCUACAAUUUCUAACAUAGAACACACGGAUUACUACUUGAAACAGUGGUAUGAAGGCGGAUUUAGAAGUAAGAAGAAAAUAGAGUGUUCUUCUUAAUAUGGCACUGGGUCGCGUACAAACCGCCCGUCACCCUCUUCGAUAGCACCCCCUCCUAUUCAUAAUUAAUUUCGCAUCCAAGAAGAGGCAAGUCGUAACAUGGUAAGUAUACUGGAAAGUGUACUUGGUAA
Molecule: ribosomal RNA, 434 nt
Filed under: Alcalus tasanae (Tasan eastern frog)
Lineage: Eukaryota; Metazoa; Chordata; Amphibia; Anura; Ceratobatrachidae
Description: partial 12S ribosomal RNA
Rfam family: Bacterial small subunit ribosomal RNA
Source: RNAcentral